Molecule: RNase P RNA, 349 nt
Filed under: Oscillospiraceae bacterium
Lineage: Bacteria; Bacillati; Bacillota; Clostridia; Eubacteriales; Oscillospiraceae
Description: RNase P RNA component class A
Rfam family: Bacterial RNase P class A
About the family: Ribonuclease P (RNase P) is a ubiquitous endoribonuclease, found in archaea, bacteria and eukarya as well as chloroplasts and mitochondria. Its best characterised activity is the generation of mature 5'-ends of tRNAs by cleaving the 5'-leader elements of precursor-tRNAs. Cellular RNase Ps are ribonucleoproteins.
Source: RNAcentral
UGAGCGGAAAGGACGGCAGCGGACGCAGUUCCGAAAGGACGCGCGCGAGGAAAGUCCGGGCUCCAAGGGCAAGGAUAGCUGCUAACGGCAGCCGGGGGUGACCCCAGGGAGAGUGCAACAGAGAUAUACCGCCAGUUUUUACUGGUAAGGGUGGAAAGGCGAGGCAAGAGCUCACCACGUCCUAUGGUAACAUAGGGGGUAUGUAAACCCUAUCCGGAGCAACACCGUACAGAAGAACAACGCACCGGCCCGGUGCGCUUCGCAAAGGUGGCAUUAAAGCCGCACGGGCGACCGGCGGCGAAGAUAGAUUGUCGUCAUUACAGAACCCGGCUUAUUUUCCGGUCACUCC